RNAcentral lists this ribosomal RNA (543 nucleotides) under uncultured bacterium. RNAcentral's name for it is "bacterial SSU rRNA". It matches the Rfam family "Bacterial small subunit ribosomal RNA", at positions 777 to 1312 of the family's 1533-position model. The record is from RNAcentral.
AAUAGAUACCCGGGUAGUCCACGCCGUAAACGGUGGGCGCUAGGUGUGGGCGACAUUCCACGUCGUCCGUGCCGCAGCUAACGCAUUAAGUGCCCCGCCUGGGGAGUACGGCCGCAAGGCUAAAACUCAAAGGAAUUGACGGGGGGCCCGCACAAGCGGCGGAGCAUGUGGCUUAAUUCGACGCAACGCGAAGAACCUUACCAAGGCUUGACAUACACCGGAAACGUCCAGAGAUGGGCGCCCCCUUGUGGUCGGUGUACAGGUGGUGCAUGGCUGUCGUCAGCUCGUGUCGUGAGAUGUUGGGUUAAGUCCCGCAACGAGCGCAACCCUUGUCCCGUGUUGCCAGCAGGCCCUUGUGGUGCUAGGGACUCACGGGAGACCGCCGGGGUCAACUCGGAGGAAGGUGGGGACGACGUCAAGUCAUCAUGCCCCUUAUGUCUUGGGCUGCACACGUGCUACAAUGGCCGGUACAAUGAGCUGCGAUACCGCGAGGUGGAGCGAAUCUCAAAAAGCCGGUCUCAGUUCGGAUUGGGGUCUGCAACG